GCCAGCGUAGCUCAGUCGGCAGAGCAUUCCCAUGGUAAGGGAAAGGCCGCCGGUUCGAUCCCGGCCGCUGGCU
This 73-nucleotide transfer RNA is filed under the name Candidatus Sungbacteria bacterium RIFCSPLOWO2_01_FULL_59_16. RNAcentral's name for it is "tRNA-Thr". It matches the Rfam family "tRNA". From Rfam's summary of the family: Transfer RNA (tRNA) molecules are approximately 80 nucleotides in length. Their secondary structure includes four short double-helical elements and three loops (D, anti-codon, and T loops). Lineage: Bacteria; Candidatus Sungiibacteriota. The record is from RNAcentral.